This 1538-nucleotide long non-coding RNA is filed under the name Mytilus galloprovincialis (Mediterranean mussel). The record is from RNAcentral. Lineage: Eukaryota; Metazoa; Mollusca; Bivalvia; Mytilida; Mytilidae.
CUGUUAUAUUACUGUCAUACCCAAAAUACCAUUAUUUGUCUCCAUUGGCUCAUUUCAAGGUGUAUGUAUGUGAUCUCAAUCUUAGGAUAUUUUGUCAUGUGUCCCAGAUUAAAUGUUAAUUUUGAGAUCAAAUACAAACUUUGUGCCUGUCCCAAGUCAGGAGCCUUUAAUUCAGUGGUUGUUGUUUGUUUAUGGGUUACAUAUUUGUUUUUCGUUCAUUUUUCAAAAUAAAUAAGGCCGCUAGUUUUUUCGCUUGAAUUGUUUUAUUGUCAUUUCGAUGCCUUUUAUAGCUGACUAUGCAGUAUGGGCUUUGCUCAUUGUUGAAAGCCGUACAGUUACCUAAAGUUGUUAAUGUCUGUCAUUUUGGUCUCUUGUGGAGAGGUGUCUCAUUUGGCAAUAAUACCACAUCUUCUUUUUUAAAUUUGAUAUAGGAUAAAACGUUGGAUUUUUUUGGGGUUUGGCAUCCCUUCGUUGCCUGAAACACACUGAUCAGAGGCCUAAAACUUCCAAAAAUAGUGUAAACUCACAGGCAUAUAACUACUGAUUGUGUUUUUUAUUGAAAUACACAUAGGAAAUGACUACUUCUGGUUGCAGGUCAAGUUAUGUAAUCAAAGAGAAUGAUUGCUCUGAGGGAUACGAUUGCUAUUGUUUUCAUUGAUAUUAGUAUUAUUCUCAAAAAUUAUUCAACUGCACAUGUAAAAUAUACCUGUGUUCCACAGGCACUUGUUUCUGCCAAUGUGGGGUGUACUAUCCACAUUGACAAGAAACAAGUGCCUGUGCUGUUUUCUCUAUUUGAUUUACGUAAUCUGAACAGUUUUUCAACUUUAAAAAUAGCCAAUCCUUGAUACAAGUGUAUGAACAAUGUAUCUAUUUAUAUGGAUAGUCAACCUUCAUAUCGUUAGAAACAAGUGCCUGUGACUGAGAGUGAAAGAAGGUAUCUCACUUUGUACCGUAUCACCUAUUUUCUUACGUGAAUUCUAGAAGGAACCCCAUUUCUAACUCUUUAAAUAUUUAAUUUCCUUCAGGUCAGUGGGCAUGACUCCUUUCCGUACACAUUCCUCUGUUUAAAUUGCAAUCACUUUUAAUAUAAUAUGACGUCUAUCGACAGAACAAGUUAAUUUUCCUCGACGUAUUGUCAUAUUUUGAUUUUGAAUUGACGCAAGUAUACAUAUUUACGUUGUGGACUACAUUUAUUUUGAAUUAAAUGUUGCAUAUGAUUUAAAAUUAUACAACAACAAUAACUCCCAAUAGCAGACAGACAAAGAAAAGAUUUCAUCAUUUUCAUGACUUCAAAUUAAUCAAUGGAGUGGGGAAUCCAGAGUACACAUGCGCAUAAUUACCAAAACAAACCUAGACUUAUGAUUUGUAGCAAGGACGUAUAUUGAAUGUUAAUCAAACGACCUAGAUGGUUUUCCAUUUCUUUAUGGAAGUUCAAUAUUAAAUAUCAGUUUCAUAACAGUGACAUAGAAGAAAAACUUCACUUCAGUUCUUUUCUGACAGAAAUAGAUUUAUCGGAAUUCAGAGACCUCUUGCAUUUU